UAAUGUGGCUCAGGGGUAGAGCAGCUCACUCGUAAUGAGCAGGUCGUGGGUUCGAUUCCCACCAUUA
Molecule: transfer RNA, 67 nt
Filed under: uncultured Butyricicoccus sp.
Lineage: Bacteria; Bacillati; Bacillota; Clostridia; Eubacteriales; Butyricicoccaceae
Rfam family: tRNA
About the family: Transfer RNA (tRNA) molecules are approximately 80 nucleotides in length. Their secondary structure includes four short double-helical elements and three loops (D, anti-codon, and T loops).
Source: RNAcentral